CUACGGGUCGCUCCAGUGAGGAAUAUUGCACAAUGGGGGGAACCCUGAUGCAGCAACGCCGCGUGGAGGAUGACGCAUUUCGGUGUGUAAACUCCUUUUAUAUGUCAAGAAAAUGACGGUAGCAUAUGAAUAAGCACCGGCUAACUCCGUGCCAGCAGCCGCGGUAAUACGGAGGGUGCAAGCGUUACUCGGAAUCACUGGGCGUAAAGGACGCGUAGGCGGGCUUGUAAGUCAGGUGUGAAAUCCUACAGCUUAACUGUAGAACUGCACUUGAAACUACGAGCCUAGAGUAUGGGAGGGGGAGAUGGAAUUAGUGGUGUAGGGGUAAAAUCCGUAGAUAUCACUAGGAAUACCUAAAGCGAAGGCGAUCUCCUGGAACAUAACUGACGCUAAGGCGUGAAAGCGUGGGGAGCAAACAGGAUUAGAUACCCGGGUAGUC
This 439-nucleotide ribosomal RNA is filed under the name uncultured bacterium. Its description in RNAcentral is "partial 16S ribosomal RNA". It matches the Rfam family "Bacterial small subunit ribosomal RNA", at positions 339 to 795 of the family's 1533-position model. The record is from RNAcentral.